GAUGAACGCUGGCGGCGUGCCUAAUACAUGCAAGUCGAGCGAACAGACGAGGAGCUUGCUCCUCUGACGUUAGCGGCGGACGGGUGAGUAACACGUGGAUAACCUACCUAUAAGACUGGGAUAACUUCGGGAAACCGGAGCUAAUACCGGAUAAUAUAUUGAACCGCAUGGUUCAAUAGUGAAAGACGGUUUUGCUGUCACUUAUAGAUGGAUCCGCGCCGCAUUAGCUAGUUGGUAAGGUAACGGCUUACCAAGGCAACGAUGCGUAGCCGACCUGAGAGGUUGAUCGGCCACACUGGAACUGAGACACGGUCCAGACUCCUACGGGAGGCAGCAGUAGGGAAUCUUCCGCAAUGGGCGAAAGCCUGACGGAGCAACGCCGCGUGAUGGAUGAAGUUCUUCGGAUCGUAAAACUCUGUUAUUAGGGAAGAACAAAUGUGUAAGUAACUAUGCACGUCUUGACGGUACCUAAUCAGAAAGCCACGGCUAACUACGUG
Molecule: ribosomal RNA, 497 nt
Filed under: uncultured bacterium
Lineage: Bacteria
Description: partial 16S ribosomal RNA
Rfam family: Bacterial small subunit ribosomal RNA
Source: RNAcentral